RNAcentral lists this ribosomal RNA (403 nucleotides) under Verrucomicrobiota bacterium. RNAcentral's name for it is "Verrucomicrobia bacterium partial 16S ribosomal RNA". It matches the Rfam family "Bacterial small subunit ribosomal RNA", at positions 355 to 776 of the family's 1533-position model. The record is from RNAcentral. Lineage: Bacteria; Pseudomonadati; Verrucomicrobiota.
UGGGGAAUAUUGCACAAUGGGCGCAAGCCUGAUGCAGCAACGCCGCGUGAACGAUGAAGGUCUUCGGAUCGUAAAGUUCUGUUGCAGGGGAAGAUAAUGACGGUACCCUGUGAGGAAGCCCCGGCUAACUACGUGCAAGCAGCCGCGGUAAUACGUAGGGGGCUAGCGUUAUCCGGAUUUACUGGGCGUAAAGGGUGCGUAGGUGGUCUUUCAAGUCGGUGGUUAAAGGCUACGGCUCAACCGUAGUUAGCCUCCGAAACUGGAAGACUUGAGUGCAGGAGAGGAAAGUGGAAUUCCCAGUGUAGCGGUGAAAUGCGUAGAUAUUGGGAGGAACACCAGUAGCGAAGGCGGCUUUCUGGACUGCAACUGACACUGAGGCACGAAAGCGUGGGUAGCAAACAGG